UAGCUUUUAUAUAUAUAUUUGGCAUUAACUUCUUCCACUGAAUAAAGAAACAACAGUCGUAUCCUCAUCAAAAAAGAGAUAUAUAUUCACUCAUUACCUUUUAGUUCAUAACUAUUUAACAGAUGAACAUGGGUAACCCAUUGUGGUCUGUCUUUUGGCUCAUAAUUAUGCUUUGGUUUUCGUUUUGUGUGGCCCUAAUUGGUGCUUUUUUCUACGUGUGGACAUACAUGUUUUCUCAAUUUAGUAAUAGCUUCCGGGGCAUCUCCGAUUUCUUUCUAAAGUGCGUUCAAUUUCCAGGAUAUUGUACUGCAGCCAUGAUUAACUGCCAGCCCAUAUGCUAAACUUCCUAUGAAUUAUGAUAACGAUACGGUUUGGGCAAGAUGAUCCACCCACACUCAAUUGAAAAGUUAAUUCAAUCCAUUAUGCAUAUACUCCUCCUAUUGUUUCUAUACUCGAUCAAUCCCAGAUAGACCAAUGAGACCAAUGUGUUUCCAUUGAAAAAGUCUGCUGAAAGCUGG
Molecule: long non-coding RNA, 518 nt
Organism: Drosophila eugracilis
Lineage: Eukaryota; Metazoa; Arthropoda; Insecta; Diptera; Drosophilidae
Exons: 3
Source: RefSeq, a predicted model, not a curated record